UUUACCAGACUUAUGUUGUAUGUAAAGUUCUCCAAUCAUACAGAAGCAUCAGACAGAAAUCAGUAAAUUUAGAUGGUUUUGGAUGAGCGAGACCAGCUUGGAGCCUAGUUAGCACAGGUAGGGCAUGACCCAUGUGAAACUCUGCUGCAGCAAGGCAAUUGGUAGAAAGAGGUUUUUCAGAAAUAACACUUGUUCUUUCUUUUGUUAUAGAUGUCCGAGACUAUCUGACAACUAACAGCUGAACGUAACCAGUACUUAGAGAAACUGAAGGAAGAGGGGUCUGUCUGGUAGUGAAGAGUCCAGCUUCUUUCUGAACAGGUGAGAGACUGGAAUGGGGUUCUGAUUUGUUAAAUAGUAUAGAAAUUGUAAAUUACGCUCCAGGCUUUUGCCGGGUAAAGAAAACAUUUUUAGGUAAACUUGUAUUUUUCCCUUCCCUGCCUAAGCUGCGUCCGCUCAUUCCAUCGUGUUCACUGACAUUUUUCUUUGGGUUGAAGGAAAAUGUUGCUUUUCUUCUGGCUAGUUUUUAGAAUAGGGAUGUGAAACUGGAACACUGGAACACUUAAAAAUUUGAGAACCAUCUAUUUAAUUCAUCAAUACAUUAAUAUGACAGUGACCUUGCUGUAAUUCUAUAGUUUUAGGGGUAUCCAAAUCAACUUCUUACUUCCUCCUAGAUUAUCACCAUAACUACCUUUUAUAUGGGGAACAACCACAAAAAAAUAUCCAAACACAACAUACUUCUUUAAGUGAAGGUUUCAUGCAAAAAUCCUCUGUAGUCAUUUUUAUAUUUAGGAUAUCUGGAGCUGCAGUAAGAAUGCUAUUCUCUCCUUCAUAGAUCCAGACCUUGGGCCAGGAGAAACAGACAGCCCAGCUCGUGUACAGAUUGCAGCACAAGGAGGUGUAGGGGAAGGAGAACCAGGAGCUUCUCACCAAAGAAAGCCAAGAGAAGAGAAUGCAAGUGCUACAGAUCCGUAGUGUGUCAGAAUUUGUACUAUUAAAAUAAAUCUCUGAUUUUGUGGGGUGAAUCUAUUGUUUGUAGAAGUUUUGGCCUUGGAAAACCUUCUUUUAACAAAAGUGGGAUUGUACAUAAAUUAUAGAUUUGGAAAGCUUAAGUUGUCCCAAUAAAACCUUGAUAUAGUUUUUUUUUAAUUUUGUAAUUUUCAUACAUUUGUCUUUAUCAGGAAUAUGCCAGUAAGAAGCAGAAGAAGAGAGAAGGAUAAAGCAGAAGGGAUGGAAUUGAGAUCAGAAGACAGAGGAAGACAAGACAUUUAUCUCUGACACUCUCACGCUUUGUGAUGUGUUUUUCAGCGGGUGCACUUAGUAUACAUAACAUGAUGGGGAAUGGUGCCAAGAAUAACCAUUAUACACAGAAUUUCCAGUCUGUUAGCCCAGGGUGAGUACGCUUGUUGGAAAAGCCAUUCCCACAGAAGGACUGUGUCUCUCAUACCCACAGGUACUGUUUCUUUAUUGCAGAUUUCAUCCAUUCUCUCACUCCCUCUAUGUUAUCAUUGCCAAAUGAGACAAUUACCCAGAAUAAAAACACACACAGUGGCUUUGUUGUUAAUCUGUGAAAUCACAGUUUUAUUAGUAAUAGAAAUUUAGCUUUUUGAUCCUGAGGAAGGCAAAAACCCUUUUCAGAAGCGUGGACUGAUCUACUUCACUAGAGGGAAAAAUUCCUUCCUGACUCCUUAACGGCAAUCGGAUUUUCUCCCAGGAUCAAUGUGCCAUAUAUCAAGGGAAGAAGGGUGAGGGAAACAGAAAGGAAUAUGGCAGAAUAAAAAGGGCGCGCAAUCAAGCUGCUACGUGAAUACUGCAUUCCGCUUCAUUCCAUGGGACCUCAAGCAGCCUGCAGACCCGGCUUCUACAGUCUGAGGGAUGGAGUGAAAAGGAAUGCAGGAUCUACAGAGUGGCUUAAAGGUGCACCAGUGUAUAAAAUCAUAUUUUGGGAGAAAGAGAAGACACCUUUUGGGGAAAUGCAGUAAGGACAUGGGAAAUAGAAAGCAAUAUGGAUGCAUACACAGGAGCGCCUUAAGCUGCUCGGUGAAUACUGCAUUCCACUUCAUUCCAUUGGACCUCAGACAGCCUGCAGACCCGGCUUCUACAGUCUGAGGGAUGGAGGGAAAAGGAAUGCAGGAUCUACAGAGUGGCUUAAAGGUGCAACUGUGUAUAAAAAACAUAUUUUGGGAAAAAGAG
Xenopus laevis (African clawed frog) is the source of this 2190-nucleotide long non-coding RNA. RefSeq lists it as uncharacterized. The record is from RefSeq and is a predicted model, not a curated record. Lineage: Eukaryota; Metazoa; Chordata; Amphibia; Anura; Pipidae. The transcript has 3 exons.